This 451-nucleotide ribosomal RNA is filed under the name uncultured organism. RNAcentral describes it as "partial 16S ribosomal RNA". It matches the Rfam family "Bacterial small subunit ribosomal RNA", at positions 333 to 800 of the family's 1533-position model. The record is from RNAcentral.
ACACUCCUACGGGAGGCAGCAGUGGGGAAUAUUGGACAAUGGGCGCAAGCCUGAUCCAGCCAUGCCGCGUGAGUGAUGAAGGCCCUAGGGUUGUAAAGCUCUUUCACCGGUGAAGAUAAUGACGGUAACCGGAGAAGAAGCCCCGGCUAACUUCGUGCCAGCAGCCGCGGUAAUACGAAGGGGGCUAGCGUUGUUCGGAUUUACUGGGCGUAAAGCGCACGUAGGCGGACUAUUAAGUCAGGGGUGAAAUCCCGGGGCUCAACCCCGGAACUGCCUUUGAUACUGGUAGUCUUGAGUUCGAGAGAGGUGAGUGGAAUUCCGAGUGCAGAGGUGAAAUUCGUAGAUAUUCGGAGGAACACCAGUGGCGAAGGCGGCUCACUGGCUCGAUACUGACGCUGAGGUGCGAAAGCGUGGGGAGCAAACAGGAUUAGAUACCCCUGUAGUCCCAUGA